GAAUGGAUUUUGGCUUAAAUCUAUAUGGCCCCUGGAUUGGACUGCGGCCGAUCAGGCUGUUGGUGAGGUAAUGGCCCACCAAACCUGUAACCGGUACGGGCUCUGAGAGGAGGAGCCCGGAGAUGGGCACUGAGACAAGGGCCCAGGCCCUAUGGGGCGCAGCAGGCGCGAAACCUCUGCAAUGGGCGAAAGCCUGACAGGGUUACUCUGAGUGAUUUCCGCUAAGGGGAUCUUUUGACACCUCUAAAAAUGGUGUAGAAUAAGGGGUGGGCAAGUCUGGUGUCAGCCGCCGCGGUAAUACCAGCACCCCGAGUGGUCGGGACGAUUAUUGGGCCUAAAGCAUCCGUAGCCGGUUCUUCAAGUCUUCCGUUAAAUCCAGCCGCUCAACGGAUGGGCUGCGGAAGAUACUAUAGGACUAUGAAGCGGGAGAGGCAAGCGGUACUCAGUGGGUAGGGGUAAAAUCCUUUGAUCCAUUGAAGA
Molecule: ribosomal RNA, 480 nt
Filed under: uncultured archaeon
Lineage: Archaea
Description: bacterial SSU rRNA
Rfam family: Archaeal small subunit ribosomal RNA
Source: RNAcentral